GACGAACGCUUGCGGCGUGCUUAACACAUGCAAGUCGAACGGAAAGGCCCUGCUUUUGUGGGGUGCUCGAGUGGCGAACGGGUGAGUAACACGUGAGUAACCUGCCCUUGACUUUGGGAUAACCUCAGGAAACUGGGGCUAAUACCGGAUAGGAGCUCCUGCUGCAUGGUGGGGGUUGGAAAGUUUCGGCGGUUGGGGAUGGACUCGCGGCUUAUCAGCUUGUUGGUGGGGUAGUGGCUUACCAAGGCUUUGACGGGUAGCCGGCCUGAGAGGGUGACCGGCCACAUUGGGACUGAGAUACGGCCCAGACUCCUACGGGAGGCAGCAGUGGGGAAUAUUGCACAAUGGGCGGAAGCCUGAUGCAGCAACGCCGCGUGCGGGAUGACGGCCUUCGGGUUGUAAACCGCUUUCGCCUGUGACGAAGCGUGAGUGACGGUAAUGGGUAAAGAAGCACCGGCUAACUACGUGCCAGCAGCCGCGGUGAUACGUAGGGUGCGAGCGUUGUCCGGAUUUAUUGGGCGUAAAGGGCUCGUAGGUGGUUGAUCGCGUCGGAAGUGUAAUCUUGGGGCUUAACCCUGAGCGUGCUUUCGAUACGGGUUGACUUGAGGAAGGUAGGGGAGAAUGGAAUUCCUGGUGGAGCGGUGGAAUGCGCAGAUAUCAGGAGGAACACCAGUGGCGAAGGCGGUUCUCUGGGCCUUUCCUGACGCUGAGGAGCGAAAGCGUGGGGAGCGAACAGGCUUAGAUACCCUGGUAGUCCACGCUGUAAACGGUGGGUACUAGGUGCGGGGUCCAUUCCACGGGUUCCGUGCCGUAGCUAACGCUUUAAGUACCCCGCCUGGGGAGUACGGCCGCAAGGCUAAAACUCAAAGGAAUUGACGGGGCCCCGCACAAGCGGCGGAGCAUGCGGAUUAAUUCGAUGCAACGCGUAGAACCUUACCUGGGUUUGACAUGGAUCGGGAGUGCUCAGAGAUGGGUGUGCCUCUUUUGGGGUCGGUUCACAGGUGGUGCAUGCCUGUCGUCAGCUCGUGUCGUGAGAUGUUGGGUUAAGUCCCGCAACGAGCGCAACCCUUGUUCACUGUUGCCAGCACGUUAUGGUGGGGACUCAGUGGAGACCGCCGGGGUCAACUCGGAGGAAGGUGGGGAUGACGUCAAGUCAUCAUGCCCCUUAUGUCCAGGGCUUCACGCAUGCUACAAUGGCUGGUACAGAGAGUGGCGAGCCUGUGAGGGUGAGCGAAUCUCGGAAAGCCGGUCUCAGUUCGGAUUGGGGUCUGCAACUCGACCUCAUGAAGUCGGAGUCGCUAGUAAUCGCAGAUCAGCAACGCUGCGGUGAAUACGUUCCCGGG
RNAcentral lists this ribosomal RNA (1343 nucleotides) under uncultured bacterium. RNAcentral describes it as "16S ribosomal RNA". It matches the Rfam family "Bacterial small subunit ribosomal RNA", at positions 28 to 1378 of the family's 1533-position model. The record is from RNAcentral.